Molecule: ribosomal RNA, 489 nt
Filed under: uncultured bacterium
Lineage: Bacteria
Description: bacterial SSU rRNA
Rfam family: Bacterial small subunit ribosomal RNA
Source: RNAcentral
UGGGGAAUCUUGCGCAAUGGCCGAAAGGCUGACGCAGCGACGCCGCGUGUGGGAUGAAGCAUUUCGGUGUGUAAACCACUGUUGCCCGGGACGAACAUCCUCUUUCGAGAGGACUGACGGUACCGGGUGAGGAAGCACCGGCUAACUCCGUGCCAGCAGCCGCGGUAAUACGGAGGGUGCGAGCGUUGUCCGGAAUCACUGGGCGUAAAGGGCGCGUAGGUGGGCCUGUGGAAGUCUGCGGUGAAAGCCCGGCGCUCAACGCCGGGUCUGCCGUGGAUACUCUCGGGCUCGAGCUCACUAGAGGCAGAUGGAAUUCCGGGUGUAGCGGUGGAAUGCGUAGAGAUCCGGAAGACACCGGUGGCGAAGGCGGUCUGCUGGGGUGAUGCUGACACUGAUGCGCGACAGCGUGGGGAGCAAACAGGAUUAGAUACCCUGGUAGUCCACGCCGUAAACGAUGGGCACUAGAUGCUUGGGGGAGCGACCCCCUGA